Molecule: non-coding RNA, 21 nt
Filed under: Caenorhabditis elegans
Lineage: Eukaryota; Metazoa; Nematoda; Chromadorea; Rhabditida; Rhabditidae
Source: RNAcentral
UAUCUAUACAAAACUGCCGAC